Myotis lucifugus (little brown bat) is the source of this 73-nucleotide non-coding RNA. The record is from Rfam. NCBI's taxonomy places the organism in Eukaryota, Metazoa, Chordata, Mammalia, Chiroptera, Vespertilionidae.
GCUGGUGUGGCUCAGCGGGUAGAGCGUCGGCCUGCGGACUGAAGGGUCCCGGGUUCGAUUCCCGGUCGGGGCA